CACGUAGGGUGCGAGCGUUGUCCGGAAUUAUUGGGCGUAAAGAGCUCGUAGGCGGUGUGUCGCGUCGGCCGUGAAAACCUGUGGCUUAACCAUGGGCUUGCGGUCGAUACGGGCAUCACUGGAGUUCGGCAGGGGAGACUGGAAUUCCUGGUGUAGCGGUGAAAUGCGCAGAUAUCAGGAGGAACACCGGUGGCGAAGGCGGGUCUCUGGGCAGUAACUGACGCUGAGGAGCGAAAGCGUGGGGAGCGAACAGG
Molecule: ribosomal RNA, 254 nt
Filed under: uncultured bacterium
Lineage: Bacteria
Description: partial 16S ribosomal RNA
Rfam family: Bacterial small subunit ribosomal RNA
Source: RNAcentral